ACCGAAGUGGUUUAGCUGGCUAAGACAUUUUUCUCGGAAAGUUGAAAGGUCCUAGGUUCGAAUCCUGGCUGAGGUA
RNAcentral lists this transfer RNA (76 nucleotides) under Trachymyrmex cornetzi. It matches the Rfam family "tRNA". From Rfam's summary of the family: Transfer RNA (tRNA) molecules are approximately 80 nucleotides in length. Their secondary structure includes four short double-helical elements and three loops (D, anti-codon, and T loops). Lineage: Eukaryota; Metazoa; Arthropoda; Insecta; Hymenoptera; Formicidae. The record is from Rfam by way of RNAcentral.